UAAUGAAUUAUAAUUUUUAUUUUGACGAACAGAAGACAAGUGGAUGUCUUUAACAUGUUUCAAUAUCAACUUUAUUUGCUGCCUUGAUAUACAAUACACAAAAUGGGACAUGACAAAAGCUUUCCUGUUAACAUGAUCAUAAAUUAAAAAAACAAACAAAUACGCUUGGCUGUAGAACAUAAUCUCCACAAAACAUGUUUUACCUAACCGUGGAACAAAGAACAGAACAAAGAACAGUUCCUUCUUCCACCCAUUGUUGUCUUUGUUCUUUCUUUGAAGUGUUGAUGUUUAUUUAGAAGGGCAUGCUCUAGUGGUCUGCACUCAUUACAAUAAGCGCAUUUUAUAAAAGCUGUUCUAAGACACUCUUUUCUUUUUUUACAAAAUACAUGAACUUUGUCAGUGCUAAAUUUAGCUAAAGACAACUUAAGCUUUAGCUUAGAGCCCCCCCACUUGCUUAGAGCCCCCCCCC
This is a non-coding RNA of Biomphalaria pfeifferi, 469 nucleotides long. NCBI's taxonomy places the organism in Eukaryota, Metazoa, Mollusca, Gastropoda, Planorbidae. The record is from the annotation of a GenBank genome assembly.